CGCCCUUGAGUUUGAUCAUGGCUCAGGACGAACGCUGGCGGCGUGCCUAACACAUGCAAGUCGAGCGAUGAAGCCCUUCGGGGCUGAUUAGCGGCGGACGGGUGAGUAACACGUGGGUAACCUGCCUCAUAGAGGGGGAUAGCCUCCCGAAAGGGAGAUUAAUACCGCAUAACAUAUUUUGGUUGCAUGACCGAAAUAUCAAAGGAGUAAUCCGCUAUGAGAUGGACCCGCGGCGCAUUAGCUAGUUGGUGAGGUAAGGGCUCACCAAGGCGACGAUGCGUAGCCGACCUGAGAGGGUGAUCGGCCACAUUGGAACUGAGACACGGUCCAGACUCCUACGGGAGGCAGCAGUGGGGAAUAUUGCGCAAUGGAGGAAACUCUGACGCAGCGACUUUUUGUGAAUGAUGAAGGCCUUAGGGUUGUAAAGUUCUGUCUUCUGGGACGAUAAUGACGGUACCAGAGGAGGAAGCCACGGCUAACUACGUGCCAGCA
This 492-nucleotide ribosomal RNA is filed under the name uncultured Clostridium sp. RNAcentral's name for it is "bacterial SSU rRNA". It matches the Rfam family "Bacterial small subunit ribosomal RNA", at positions 1 to 513 of the family's 1533-position model. The record is from RNAcentral. Lineage: Bacteria; Bacillati; Bacillota; Clostridia; Eubacteriales; Clostridiaceae.